UACGAAGGGGGCUAGCGUUGUUCGGAAUUACUGGGCGUAGAGCGCGCGCAGGCGGCUAUCCAAGUCAGUGGUGAAAGCCCGGAGCUUAACUCCGGAACUGCCAUUGAAACUGUUUAGCUUGAGGACGAGAGAGGUGAGUGGAAUUCCCAGUGUAGAGGUGAAAUUCGUAGAUAUUGGGAAGAACACCGGUGGCGAAGGCGGCUCACUGGCUCGUUUCUGACGCUCAGGCGCGACAGCGUGGGGAUCAAACAGG
This 253-nucleotide ribosomal RNA is filed under the name uncultured bacterium. Its description in RNAcentral is "partial 16S ribosomal RNA". It matches the Rfam family "Bacterial small subunit ribosomal RNA", at positions 524 to 776 of the family's 1533-position model. The record is from RNAcentral.